GUAGGUGCAUUAGUCAAACCGA
RNAcentral lists this non-coding RNA (22 nucleotides) under Arabidopsis thaliana (thale cress). The record is from RNAcentral. Lineage: Eukaryota; Viridiplantae; Streptophyta; Magnoliopsida; Brassicales; Brassicaceae.